Molecule: ribosomal RNA, 518 nt
Filed under: uncultured methanogenic archaeon
Lineage: Archaea; Methanobacteriati; Methanobacteriota
Description: bacterial SSU rRNA
Rfam family: Archaeal small subunit ribosomal RNA
Source: RNAcentral
ACUGCUAUCGGUGUUCGCCUAAGCCAUGCGAGUCAUAUGUAGCAAUACAUGGCGUACUGCUCAGUAACACGUGGAUAACCUGCCCUUGGGUCCGGCAUAACCCCGGGAAACUGGGGAUAAUUCUGGAUAACGCAUUUAUGCUGGAAUGCUUUCUGCGUAAAAUGGAUUCGUCUGCCCAAGGAUGGGUCUGCGGCCUAUCAGGUAGUAGUGGGCGUAAUGUACCUACUAGCCUACGACGGGUACGGGUUGUGAGAGCAAGAGCCCGGAGAUGGAUUCUGAGACAUGAAUCCAGGCCCUACGGGGCGCAGCAGGCGCGAAAACUUUACAAUGCGGGAAACCGUGAUAAGGGGACACCGAGUGCCAGCAUCAUAUGCUGGCUGUCCAGGUGUGUAAAAUACACCUGUUAGCAAGGGCCGGGCAAGACCGGUGCCAGCCGCCGCGGUAACACCGGCGGCCCGAGUGGUGAUCGUGUUUAUUGGGUCUAAAGGGUCCGUAGCCUGUUUGGUCAGUCCUCCGGG